Molecule: ribosomal RNA, 795 nt
Filed under: uncultured marine bacterium
Lineage: Bacteria
Description: partial 16S ribosomal RNA
Rfam family: Bacterial small subunit ribosomal RNA
Source: RNAcentral
GAACGCUGGCGGCGGGCUCUCCACACAUGCAAGUCGAGCGGAACGGGGGGGGUUGGCCCACCUGCAACCAGNGGCACAGGGGAGAAACAUACAUACGACCCGGCCCUNUCUGGGGGAAAACCCCUUGGAAAGCCGGAUUAUUCCCCCUUACGCCCCUCCGGGGAAAGCUGGGGAUCUUAAAGGUUUGCAUUGUUUAUUGAUGGUUUGGCGUAUUAUUUAUUUGGUGGGGGAAGAACCGNCUACCGCGACGAUCCUGACUUGGGGGGAUAAGAUGAUCAUCCCCCUCGGUGCUGAUGCACCGCCCNCCCUACUCCUGGAGGAAGCAGCGGGGAAGAAUGGAGAAUGGGGGAAAACCUGAUCACGCCAUCCCGCGUGUGUGAAGAAGGCUGUCCUAUGGGUUGUAACUUUCUUUGAGGAGGAAAAACUUACUGCUUUUACUCCUGAGGUUUCAGUUUCCUCUCAAAAAAANCCCCGUCUAUCUCCGUGCCCACCCCCGCGGUUAUACAGAGGGCGCACGCUUUCCUGAAUCUUACUGUGUAUAGGGCGCGCAUGCUUGGUCUGAUAUCUGAGAUGAAAUANCCCCGCUUAUAACCUGAGUUCGGUAGUUCACUCUGUCNCGCUAAACUAUCGUAGAUGAGUGUAAUACUUCCUGUGUAGCUGAGAAUGCAUAAUAUAUAGGAAGAGAACACCUGUGGAAGCGGCGCACUCUGGACCAAUACUGACACUGAGGUGAAAAGCUGGGGAGCGAAACAGAUUUAGAUCCCCGGUUAGUCCCCCCGUAAACGUUGACUACUA